AAGGGCACCACAAGAACGCGUGGAGCAUGUGGCUUAAUUUGACUCAACACUGGAAACCUUACCGGGUCCGGACACACUGAGGAUUGACAGGCAACCCGAAGUGGGAGGAGCUUUCUUCGCAGAAUGUCUCUGAACACUUCACAUGAAAGAUGCUAGUCCUUUCAUGAUUAUGUGAUAGGUGGUGCAUGGCCGUUCUUAGUUCGUGGAGUGAUCUGUCUGCUUAAUUGCGUUCAGUGAACGGGAAAUCACAUACAUCCUUUACAAUAUAUGCUUAGUAGUUUUUCACCGAGCGAAAAGCAUUGAGUGGGUGUAUGCCCAAUACUCCCUUCUUUGCAACGAACGUGACCG
RNAcentral lists this ribosomal RNA (348 nucleotides) under Foraminifera environmental sample. Its description in RNAcentral is "partial 18S ribosomal RNA". It matches the Rfam family "Eukaryotic small subunit ribosomal RNA", at positions 1160 to 1411 of the family's 1831-position model. Lineage: Eukaryota; Foraminifera. The record is from RNAcentral.